UUGGUGUACCUGCGGAGGGAUCAUUACUGAGUUACCGCUCUAUAACCCUUUGUGAACGUACCUAACCGUUGCUUCGGCGGGCAGGGGAAGCCUCUCGCGGGCCUCCCCUCCCGGCGCCGGCCCCCACCACGGGGACGGGGCGCCCGCCGGAGGAAACCAAACUCUAUUUACACGACGUCUCUUCUGAGUGGCACAAGCAAAUAAUUAAAACUUUUAACAACGGAUCUCUUGGUUCUGGCAUCGAUGAAGAACGCAGCGAAAUGCGAUAAGUAAUGUGAAUUGCAGAAUUCAGUGAAUCAUCGAAUCUUUGAACGCACAUUGCGCUCGCCAGCAUUCUGGCGAGCAUGCCUGUUCGAGCGUCAUUUCAACCCUCAAGCACCGCUUGGUUUUGGGGCCCCACGGCCGACGUGGGCCCUUAAAGGUAGUGGCGGACCCUCCCGGAGCCUCCUUUGCGUAGUAACUAACGUCUCGCACUGGGAUCCGGAGGGACUCUUGCCGUUAAACCCCCAAAUUCUUUACAGGUUGACCUCGGAUCAGGUAGGAAUACCAGCUGAACUUAAGCAUAUCAAUAAGCGAG
RNAcentral lists this ribosomal RNA (577 nucleotides) under Colletotrichum acutatum. RNAcentral's name for it is "eukaryotic LSU rRNA". The stretch from base 209 to 362 matches the Rfam family "5.8S ribosomal RNA". The record is from RNAcentral. Lineage: Eukaryota; Fungi; Ascomycota; Sordariomycetes; Glomerellales; Glomerellaceae.